Molecule: non-coding RNA, 2872 nt
Organism: Ogataea philodendri
Lineage: Eukaryota; Fungi; Ascomycota; Pichiomycetes; Pichiales; Pichiaceae
Source: the annotation of a RefSeq genome assembly
GUAACCUAAUGAAAAGUAUACAUAUAUAAAUAUAAUAAUAGAAAAGAUUUAGUAUAAUAAAAAUCAAUCAAGAUUAAUUAAUAUAUAAGAAAAUGCGCUAUUGAUAAAAAUAGGUAAAAAUUUAUUUAAUAAAAAUGAAUAAAAAACCUAAAGGAAACUGAUAAAAGUAAACUAGGUGAAUUGAAACAUCUUAGUAACCUAAGGAAUAUAAAUCAACAGAGAUUCUAUGAGUAUUGGUGAGAGAAAAUAGAGUAUAGUUUAAGCAAGUACCUCCUCAAUAAAGGUGGGAAUAUAGGAUUAACUAAUUCUAAAGCUAAAUAUUAUCAAUAAGCACUAACUAGUACCGAAAGGGAAUUUUAUAUAUUAGUAAAAUCAUGAGCAAUAAGAGAAUUUUAAACAAUUAAAAUUUGAUUAUGUACCUUUUGUAUAAUGGGUUAGCAAGUUAUAAUUAUUAGCAAAAAGAAAUUUUUUCUUUAUAAAGAAAUUGAGAAAAAUAAUGUAUAUAUACAUUAUUAGUAGUUAAUAGUUAUAUACCCGAAAGUAGAUGAUCUUAUCAUAACCAAGCGGAAGUAUUAUAUUACUAUUAAUUUGGUAAAUAAUAUAAAUCGGCUGAACAAGUUAAUGUUGCAAUAUUAUUUGAUGAGUUAUGAUAAGUAGUGAAAGACAAAUCUGAUCUACAAAUAGCUGGUUUUUUGUGAAAUAUAUUUUAGUAUAGCGUUAUUUAUUAUUAAUCGGAAGGUAAAGCAAUUAAUUAUCAUUGGGGUUUUUUUACUAAAAUUAUCAAUAUAAUUUAAUCUCAUAAUUCUUCCACAUUAUAAUUAAAUAAUAGUCAGACUAUUGGCGAUAAGGUUUAUAGUCUAAAGGGAAACAGCCCAGAUUAUUAGGUAAAGUUCCAAAUUAUAUUCUAAGUGUAAUUAAUAUAAAUUAUCUCUAUAACAACUACGAGAUGGGUUUGACAGUAAUCUAUUCUAUGAUCAACGUGUAUCAACGGACUAGUUAUGUAAAUAAUAAUUUUAUUUUAAGAGAAAUUAUAUAGACAAUACCCGGAACUUAUAUUAAAGAAUAUAACUGAACCUAUAAAUAAUAGGAUAUUUAAUUAUCUUAUUAUGGUAACAAAACACUCAAUUAUAGAAUAUCUUAAUUAAUUUAAGGUAAUAAUAAUAGUAUUAUUUUGCAAAUUUUGCUAAAUAUAUACAAUACAAAUGAAAUUGAAUAGAGAAUGCUAACAUGAGUAACGUAAAAGGGGAUAAUCCCCUUCACUUUAAGUAUGAGGUUUUAAUAAAAAAUCGGUCCCUAAGAUUAUUACCUGAAUAGGUAUAAUUAAUAGGUAAUUAAUAAUUAUAAUACACGACUAAUGUAAUUAUAUUACAUAUAAUUAUAACAAUAAUUAGUACAGGAAAAAAUUAUAAUAACUAAUACCGUAAUAAGACCGACACAGGUAUACGAAAGUAGAAAAGAAAGUGAAUAAGAUAAUUUUGGUAAAUGAACUCGGCAAAACAUAUUUCCCACGUUUGUCAAAAGGAAAUAAUAAAGUACAUAUCGUGCAACUGUUUACUAAAAACACAGCACUUUGCGAAAAUUAAUAUUAUAGUAUAAAGUGUGAGGUCUGCCCAAUGCUUAUUAAUAAAGUAUGUUAUUUAAUCGAUAAUGUAAUUAAAAUUUAAGUCAAUGGCGGCUUUAUAAUGAGAGUCAUAAUGUAGCCUGAAAAGAGUUGUCUACUAAUUAUAGUCUCGCAUGAAUGAUAGAAUGAUGCGAUAACUGUAUCUACCAAAAUCUUAGUGAAAUUGAAUUAGCGGUGAAGAUGCCGUUUACCUAAAGUUAGACGAGAAGACCCGAUGCAGCUUUACUAUAGUCUAAUAAGUUGUUCCUAUUUUAUUCAAUUUUUAGAAUAUUAAGUAAUAUAUUGGUAUAAUAAUGAAAUACUUAAAUUUGAAAUUAUAGGUACUUAUCUCGUAAUCAACUAAUUAAUUUAGAUAAUUAAUAAUUCUUAAUUAGUUUAGAGAGACAUCUUUAGCCUGAUAGUUUAAAUGGGGCGUUGAUUUCAUAAAAUGUAACUGAAUAUGACCAUUUACAAUUAAAUUAGAUAUAUUCGAUAUAAAUUAAAAAGAUAAUUUUUAAUAUUGUUAAAAACAUUGAAUCAAUGUUAUAAUAGAAUAAAUUAUUGUAUAGUUAAUCUGAAGAUGAAAUCAGAUAUAUAUAUUUAUUGUUAAGAUAAAUAUUCUUUAAAGUAUAAUAGCAUAACUAUGCAAGAAAUUCGGACCUACAAGUCUGAAUUAUACUUACGUAUGGUAUAGUGAACAGAUCAUAUUUAUAGUACAAGUGAUCGAUAACGAAUAAAAGCUACGCCGGGGAUAACAGCAUGGUAGCGCGAGAGAGUAGAUAUUGUCAGCGCUGUUCGUGACCUCGAUGUCGACUCAACCUAUCCUAUUGGUCGUAGAAGCUAAUAAGGGUUUGACUGUUCGUCAAUUAAAAGGUUACGUGAGUUGGGUUAAAUACGUCGUAAGACAGUAUGGUUUCUAUCUUCUUUAGGACAUAGUUAAUAGAAUUCUAUAUCUUAGUACGAAAGGAUUGGAUAUUGUUAAUCAAUGAUUUGACUGUUAUUAAGAGGAGUAUAUCUAUGAUAUAUUCAUAUAAUUUAUUGUUUAACAGAAGUAACUUAGUAUGCAGUUAAGUUAAAUUAAUCUAUUUUAAGUAUUGAAAGCAUUUCAAAUACGAAAUUAAAUUCUAUAAACUAAUAACAUAUGCACAAGUUGCAUAUUUAAUAUUAUAUUAGACUAGUAUAUUAAUAGCUACAUAUUACCAUAAUUAUGUAUAGCCUAAUUAAUAUUAUAUUUUUAUUAUACUUCUAUUAUUUAUUUAAACAACAACACAU